AAAAAGGAAGAGGGGCCACCAAGAUAUUUACUUACCCUUAGACAUUUUGAUUGGUUCAAACCGGGAAGGUGGUAGCAAUUUGUGUCUGACUUUGUCUUUUAUGAGAGCAAACACAGGCGAAAAUGUGCUCACCACGCAAAAAUGAUAACCUUGAAUUCUCUUCCAACGAAGCUUCAAAAAAGUCAUCCUUCAAAUUAACCCUCGUUGUCAAGGUAAGUUGGCCGAGGAGUUUGAGCUUUAAUGGAGUGAGCACAUCUGCCCCGCCCAGGGCCAACUUGCGAGAGAUCACAUGCCCUCUCAAAUCUC
RNAcentral lists this long non-coding RNA (306 nucleotides) under Populus tremula. RNAcentral describes it as "long non-coding RNA (PTRE_LNC001842)". Lineage: Eukaryota; Viridiplantae; Streptophyta; Magnoliopsida; Malpighiales; Salicaceae. The record is from RNAcentral.